CAUACUUCCUAGUUAAUAUUCCUAAUAUUCCAUUUGAAUAAAAAAGUUUACAAUAUGUGUAGUUACUAUAAAUUAUGAUAGUUAAAAUAUGAAGUUACUAGUUAUUCGAAUUUGAAAUGUUUGAUUUUUCUUAUAUUUUUUAUUUAUAUAUUUGUUUAAUGCUUAAAAGUGUAAUAUAAUAUGGUUUCUGUUUCCUAUAAGCUGUUAUAAUGGAAACAUAAAUUUUUAAAAGUCUCUGCAAGUGUUUGAAUUUCUUAUUUUACUUAUU
Non-coding RNA from Cinara cedri, 268 nucleotides. The record is from the annotation of a GenBank genome assembly. NCBI's taxonomy places the organism in Eukaryota, Metazoa, Arthropoda, Insecta, Hemiptera, Aphididae.